This 207-nucleotide ribosomal RNA is filed under the name uncultured bacterium. RNAcentral's name for it is "partial 16S ribosomal RNA". It matches the Rfam family "Bacterial small subunit ribosomal RNA", at positions 568 to 774 of the family's 1533-position model. The record is from RNAcentral.
AGCGUAGACGGAAUGGCAAGUCUGAUGUGAAAGGUCGGGGCUCAACCCCGGGACUGCAUUGGAAACUGUCAAUCUAGAGUACCGGAGGGGUAAGUGGAAUUCCUAGUGUAGCGGUGAAAUGCGUAGAUAUUAGGAGGAACACCAGUGGCGAAGGCGGCUUGCUGGACGAUGACUGACGUUGAGGCUCGAAAGCGUGGGGAGCAAACA